This 31-nucleotide non-coding RNA is filed under the name Homo sapiens (human). Lineage: Eukaryota; Metazoa; Chordata; Mammalia; Primates; Hominidae. The record is from RNAcentral.
UCCCGCAAGUAUGACCGAGGGACUGGAAUGC